UACUCCUACGGGAGGCAGCAGAGGAGGAUCAUUCGCAAUGGGCGAAAGCCUGACGGUGCGACGCCGCGUGAGGGAUGAAGGCCUUCGGGUUGUAAACCUCUGUCAGGAGUUAUGAACGGCGGGGACAUUAAUACCGUCUCCGCGUGACCAAGGCUCCAAAGGAAGCCACGGCUAACUACGUGCCAGCAGCCGCGGUAAUACGUAGGUGGCAAGCGUUACUYGGAAUCACUGGGCAUAAAGGGCGUGUAGGCGGAUGCGUAAKUCCGGUGUAAAAGCCCCCGGCUCAACCGGGGAAAGCCAUCGGAGACUGCGUGUCUGGAGUGCGGGAGGGGAGAGUGGAACUCUUGGUGGAGCGGUGAAAUGCGUAGAUAUCAAGAGGAACGCCGGUGGCGAAAGCGGCUCUCUGGCCCGUUACUGACGCUGAGGCGCGAAAGCUAGGGGAGCAAACGGGAUUAGAUACCCCGGUAGUCCUAGCCCUAAACGAUGAACACUGGGUGUAGCCCUUCACGGGGCUGUGCCGAAGCUAACGCAUUAAGUGUUCCGCCWGGGGAGUACGGUCGCAAGGCUGAAACUYMAAGGAAUURACGG
RNAcentral lists this ribosomal RNA (588 nucleotides) under uncultured Oxalophagus sp. RNAcentral describes it as "bacterial SSU rRNA". It matches the Rfam family "Bacterial small subunit ribosomal RNA", at positions 334 to 916 of the family's 1533-position model. The record is from RNAcentral. Lineage: Bacteria; Bacillati; Bacillota; Bacilli; Caryophanales; Paenibacillaceae.